GGGUUGUGAGGUUAAGCGACUAAGCGUACACGGUGGAUGCCCUGGCAGUCAGAGGCGAUGAAGGGCGNNNUCGUCACACUAUCAUUAACUGAAUCCAUAGGUUAAUGAGGCGAACCGGGGGAACUGAAACAUCUAAGUACCCCGAGGAAAAGAAAUCAACCGAGAUUCCCCCAGUAGCGGCGAGCGAACGGGGAGGAGCCCAGAGCCUGAAUCAGCAUGUGUGUUAGUGGAAGCGUCUGGAAAGGCGCGCGAUACAGGGUGACAGCCCCGUACACAAAAGCGCAUGUGCUGUGAGCUCGAUGAGUAGGGCGGGACACGUGGUAUCCUGUCUGAAUAUGGGGGGACCAUCCUCCAAGGCUAAAUACUCCUGACUGACCGAUAGUGAACCAGUACCGUGAGGGAAAGGCGAAAAGAACCCCGGCGAGGGGAGUGAAAAAGAACCUGAAACCGUGUACGUACAAGCAGUGGGAGCNNNNNNNNNNNNNNNNNNNNNNNNNNNNNNNNNGGGCGUUAAGUUGCAGGGUAUAGACCCGAAACCCGGUGAUCUAGCCAUGGGCAGGUUGAAGGUUGGGUAACACUAACUGGAGGACCGAACCGACUAAUGUUGAAAAAUUAGCGGAUGACCUGUGGCUGGGGGUGAAAGGCCAAUCAAACCGGGAGAUAGCUGGUUCUCCCCGAAAGCUAUUUAGGUAGCGCCUCGUGAAUUCAUCUCCGGGGGUAGAGCACUGUUUCGGCUAGGGGGCCAUCCCGGCUUACCAACCCGAUGCAAACUGCGAAUACCGGAGAAUGUUAUCACGGGAGACACACGGCGGGUGCUAACGUCCGUCGUGAAGAGGGAAACAACCCAGACCGCCAGCUAAGGUCCCAAAGUCAUGGUUAAGUGGGAAACGAUGUGGGAAGGCCCAGACAGCCAGGAUGUUGGCUUAGAAGCAGCCAUCAUUUAAAGAAAGCGUAAUAGCUCACUGGUCGAGUCGGCCUGCGCGGAAGAUGUAACGGGGCUAAACCAUGCACCGAAGCUGCGGCAGCGACACUGUGUGUUGUUGGGUAGGGGAGCGUUCUGUAAGCCUGCGAAGGUGGCCUGUGAGGGUUGCUGGAGGUAUCAGAAGUGCGAAUGCUGACAUAAGUAACGAUAAAGCGGGUGAAAAGCCCGCUCGCCGGAAGACCAAGGGUUCCUGUCCAACGUUAAUCGGGGCAGGGUGAGUCGACCCCUAAGGCGAGGCCGAAAGGCGUAGUCGAUGGGAAACGGGUUAAUAUUCCCGUACUUGGUGUUACUGCGAAGGGGGGACGGAGAAGGCUAUGUUGGCCGGGCGACGGUUGUCCCGGUUUAAGCGUGUAGGUGUGUGUUCCAGGUAAAUCCGGUUCACUUUAACACUGAGGCGUGACGACGAGGCACUACGGUGCUGAAGCAACAAAUGCCCUGCUUCCAGGAAAAGCCUCUAAGCAUCAGGUAACAUCAAAUCGUACCCCAAACCGACACAGGUGGUCAGGUAGAGAAUACCAAGGCGCUUGAGAGAACUCGGGUGAAGGAACUAGGCAAAAUGGUGCCGUAACUUCGGGAGAAGGCACGCUGACACGUAGGUGAAGUGAUUUACUCAUGGAGCUGAAGUCAGUCGAAGAUACCAGCUGGCUGCAACUGUUUAUUAAAAACACAGCACUGUGCAAACACGAAAGUGGACGUAUACGGUGUGACGCCUGCCCGGUGCCGGAAGGUUAAUUGAUGGGGUCAGCGCAAGCGAAGCUCCUGAUCGAAGCCCCGGUAAACGGCGGCCGUAACUAUAACGGUCCUAAGGUAGCGAAAUUCCUUGUCGGGUAAGUUCCGACCUGCACGAAUGGCGUAAUGAUGGCCAGGCUGUCUCCACCCGAGACUCAGUGAAAUUGAACUCGCUGUGAAGAUGCAGUGUACCCGCGGCAAGACGGAAAGACCCCGUGAACCUUUACUAUAGCUUGACACUGAACAUUGAGCCUUGAUGUGUAGGAUAGGUGGGAGGCUUUGAAGUGUGGACGCCAGUCUGCAUGGAGCCGACCUUGAAAUACCACCCUUUAAUGUUUGAUGUUCUAACGUGGACCCGUUACCCGGGUUGCGGACAGUGUCUGGUGGGUAGUUUGACUGGGGCGGUCUCCUCCUAAAGAGUAACGGAGGAGCACGAAGGUUGGCUAAUCCUGGUCGGACAUCAGGAGGUUAGUGCAAUGGCAUAAGCCAGCUUGACUGCGAGCGUGACGGCGCGAGCAGGUGCGAAAGCAGGUCAUAGUGAUCCGGUGGUUCUGAAUGGAAGGGCCAUCGCUCAACGGAUAAAAGGUACUCCGGGGAUAACAGGCUGAUACCGCCCAAGAGUUCAUAUCGACGGCGGUGUUUGGCACCUCGAUGUCGGCUCAUCACAUCCUGGGGCUGAAGUAGGUCCCAAGGGUAUGGCUGUUCGCCAUUUAAAGUGGUACGCGAGCUGGGUUUAGAACGUCGUGAGACAGUUCGGUCCCUAUCUGCCGUGGGCGCUGGAGAACUGAGGGGGGCUGCUCCUAGUACGAGAGGACCGGAGUGGACGCAUCACUGGUGUUCGGGUUGUCAUGCCAAUGGCACUGCCCGGUAGCUAAAUGCGGAAGAGAUAAGUGCUGAAAGCAUCUAAGCACGAAACUUGCCCCGAGAUGAGUUCUCCCUGAGACUUAGAGUCUCCUGAAGGAACGUUGAAGACGACGACGUUGAUAGGCCGGGUGUGUAAGCGCAGCGAUGCGUUGAGCUAACCGGUACUAAUGAACCGUGAGGCUUAACCUUACAACGCCGAAG
This 2776-nucleotide ribosomal RNA is filed under the name Salmonella enterica subsp. enterica serovar Enteritidis. Its description in RNAcentral is "bacterial LSU rRNA". It matches the Rfam family "Bacterial large subunit ribosomal RNA". Lineage: Bacteria; Pseudomonadati; Pseudomonadota; Gammaproteobacteria; Enterobacterales; Enterobacteriaceae. The record is from RNAcentral.